Molecule: ribosomal RNA, 283 nt
Filed under: uncultured Staphylococcus sp.
Lineage: Bacteria; Bacillati; Bacillota; Bacilli; Caryophanales; Staphylococcaceae
Description: partial 16S ribosomal RNA
Rfam family: Bacterial small subunit ribosomal RNA
Source: RNAcentral
CUUGCUCCUUUGACGUUAGCGGCGGACGGGUGAGUAACACGUGGGUAACCUACCUAUAAGACUGGGAUAACUUCGGGAAACCGGAGCUAAUACCGGAUAAUAUUUCGAACCGCAUGGUUCGAUAGUGAAAGGUGGUUUUGCCAUCACUUAUAGAUGGACCCGCGCCGUAUUAGCUAGUUGGUAAGGUAACGGCUUACCAAGGCGACGAUACGUAGCCGACCUGAGAGGGUGAUCGGCCACACUGGAACUGAGACACGGUCCAGACUCCUACGGGAGGGCAGGU